RNAcentral lists this long non-coding RNA (231 nucleotides) under Ricinus communis (castor bean). RNAcentral's name for it is "long non-coding RNA (RCOM_LNC001943)". Lineage: Eukaryota; Viridiplantae; Streptophyta; Magnoliopsida; Malpighiales; Euphorbiaceae. The record is from RNAcentral.
UUAAAUUGUAGUCAAAUCUCAGAUGUUCGAGACUGAAGUUCAGUUAAUUUUGCUUUUUUACACCUCUCUCGCUGCGGUGAAGACAAGGGAAAAUUCCCUCUGAUUCUCGAACAAAGACUGUUCACGAGUUGCGUUCGACAAUUUCGAGUGAAAUUUGCAAUGAUGAAGAGCAAAAUGAAGAUCAUGGCCAUGGGGUUGUAUUUUUAUUAGGAGUAGAAAUUCAGACCCUGC